GCACCUGGUGGGCAGCUGUUGCUAGCCAAUGGCUCGACGAGCAUACCGGUUCCCACUUAUUUAAUUACUACAGGGCUCCCGAUGGAGUACCUGCUUAGCAGGUCCCAUUCUUGAUCCUCAGCACUGCGAAGAAAACACAGAAGAGAAAUAAAGGCUGCUGCGUAGUUUUGGAUCAGACAGAAAACAAAGGAAGGAACACCAGGAUGCAAUGAUGAUUUAAUUUGCAACAGAAUCGCCCGUUUUCCCUUUGAUUCCCACUUGGAUGUAACACUGGUACUGCAAAGCAUCCCUGAGGCCUUUCUCGCUGUGCCAAGAUGCACAUCUUCUGACAGAGCCAUGGCCUGAGGCUGCAAAGAUGGUGCUGGGGCCACG
RNAcentral lists this long non-coding RNA (372 nucleotides) under Mus musculus (house mouse). Lineage: Eukaryota; Metazoa; Chordata; Mammalia; Rodentia; Muridae. The record is from RNAcentral.